CCCGGGCGGCACGGGUGGAGUAACACGUAUCCAACCUGCCGUCUACUCUUGGACAGCCUUCUGAAAGGAAGAUUAAUACAAGAUGGCAUCAUGAGUCCGCAUGUUCACAUGAUUAAAGGUAUUCCGGUAGACGAUGGGGAUGCGUUCCAUUAGAUAGUAGGCGGGGUAACGGCCCACCUAGUCUUCGAUGGAUAGGGGUUCUGAGAGGAAGGUCCCCCACAUUGGAACUGAGACACGGUACCAA
Molecule: ribosomal RNA, 244 nt
Filed under: uncultured bacterium
Lineage: Bacteria
Description: partial 16S ribosomal RNA
Rfam family: Bacterial small subunit ribosomal RNA
Source: RNAcentral